AUUGAACGCUGGCGGCAGGCCUAACACAUGCAAGUCGAACGGUAACAGGAAGCAGCUUGCUGCUUCGCUGACGAGUGGCGGACGGGUGAGUAAUGUCUGGGAAACUGCCUGAUGGAGGGGGAUAACUACUGGAAACGGUAGCUAAUACCGCAUAACGUCGCAAGACCAAAGAGGGGGACCUUCGGGCCUCUUGCCAUCGGAUGGGCCCAGAUGGGAUUAGCUAGUAGGUGGGGUAACGGCUCACCUAGGCGACGAUCCCUAGCUGGUCUGAGAGGAUGACCAGCCACACUGGAACUGAGACACGGUCCAGACUCCUACGGGAGGCAGCAGUGGGGAAUAUUGCACAAUGGGCGCAAGCCUGAUGCAGCCAUGCCGCGUGUAUGAAGAAGGCCUUCGGGUUGUAAAGUACUCUCAGCGGGGAGGAAGGCGAUAAGGUUAAUAACCUUGUCGAUUGACGUUACCCGCAGAAGAAGCACCGGCUAACUCCGUGCCAGCAGCCGCAGUAA
RNAcentral lists this ribosomal RNA (506 nucleotides) under uncultured bacterium. RNAcentral describes it as "partial 16S ribosomal RNA". It matches the Rfam family "Bacterial small subunit ribosomal RNA", at positions 30 to 523 of the family's 1533-position model. The record is from RNAcentral.